AGAUCCAUCCUGAUUCCUUUUAUCUCUCACUCUUUUUUCUCCCUUUUGUUCUACCCAGUUAUGUGGAGGGUUUCUUGCCUUUUUUGGAGGUUUAAGGUCUUCCGGUGUUCAGUAGAUGUUCUGUGUGAAUCGUUCUACAUGUAGAUGUGCUUUUUUUUUUUUUUUUUUUGAUGUGUUUGUGGGAGAAAAUGAGCAAGACCUCUUACUCCUCUGCCAUCUUGAUCCUUCUAUCAAAUUUUAUUUUCUUAAAAGGAUUGUCAAAGAAAACAACACAGGAUUCCAGGCAGACCUUCAACUGCUCACCCACUGACAGGUGCUCAGGUAUCCCUCCCGCCACUUCCCUGUCCAUGCCCCAUCCAGAUCCUGCAGCGGGGUGACCACAGCCACCUUUGCAGAGGAGGGCGAGCUGCGCAUGUAAGCGCAUGUACGGUGGCAAGGACCGCCGCUCCCUCCUGCUGCGUGGCGUUCUGGCACGCCGGCUCCUAGGGUGCAAGGACUCCUGAGACCUGGAGGACGCCAAGGUUGUAUGCUGCCACCUGGGCAAUAGCCAGGCUGUGGGCACCCUGGUGGGGGCCACCUUUGGGCCAGGCUCUAGACCCAUGUGGCUGGAGGAGGUGGGGUGGCGGGGCAGCGAAUCACCCUUUGGAGCUGCCCCGCGCAGCCAUUUGGUCACGGAGACUGCCGGCACAAGCACAUGGAGGGCACUGCUCAGGUCCUUCUGUGGCCCUUUGACCUGCCCGCCAGGCCGAGACUCUGCCCAUGACUCUCAGUGUGGUCCUCGGCACCCUCCUGGUUGUCAUCUCACUGGUCCUGGGAGCACGGUGGUUCCAGGGCAGAGGAGCCUGCAGGGGUUCCGGAACGUUGGGGAGUCUGCCCUCGGAAGGUGUUUAUGAGGUCUUUGGAGCUGUCCCCAUGGGGGUAAAGGACGAUGGGCUCAGAGUGUCCAGGGCCCUGGAGCUGGAGGAGGAGUAUGAUGACGCAGAGGAGCCCCUGCUCAGCCCUGAGGAGAGGGAAGCGGAGGAGGGGGCCCCCCUGACCAACGCAGGUGUGCACCUCUGCGCCUUGGCAUCCCUGGUGCUUUUCCUGCUGUACUGCUCCUACGCCCAAGGCUUUUCUCUGGCCAGCCCCUACAUCUAAAGAUCCUCAAAGUGCCUCUCUGUGUGUUUGUGACUCUCACUUCCAUCAUAGGCUUGGUGUUCAGAGUUUAGGGAGGUCCUAGAUUUUUAUGUGGGUUUCUUUCUGUGAUUGCGCUUGUCCCUCCAGUGCCAUGUCCAGCGGCUGCAGGGGCCUGAGCAGACAGGUGGGCAGAGAUGUGCAUGCAGCAGCACACUGUCGGCUCGCUCCAUCCAGUCCUUGACCAAGCCUCCAGCCUCACCGUGCGGCAAGAAGCCAGGGCCCAGAAUUCCUGAGGAAUUGCUGAGGGUCCCCAAUGUGUGUCUCUGUCCUUAAACAGAGGUGGGGCUCCUCACAGCUCAGGCUGGGAAGGACGAACAGGGCAGCCUCUGCCCCAGGACAUGCUGACCAUGAGCCAACCACAGGGACCUCCGCAAGACCAGAGGGUGGGGCUUUCAUUUUCCUCAAUUCUUCAAGAGAUUUAUUGUAUCA
RNAcentral lists this long non-coding RNA (1605 nucleotides) under Sus scrofa (pig). RNAcentral's name for it is "lncRNA (ENSSSCG00040031656.1)". Lineage: Eukaryota; Metazoa; Chordata; Mammalia; Artiodactyla; Suidae. The record is from RNAcentral.